GUCCCUGUAGCUUAUACAAAGCAUGGCGCUGAAGACGCCAAGAUGGUCGUUGCACACACACCCAAGGACA
RNAcentral lists this transfer RNA (70 nucleotides) under Garrulax ocellatus (spotted laughingthrush). RNAcentral describes it as "tRNA-Phe". Lineage: Eukaryota; Metazoa; Chordata; Aves; Passeriformes; Leiothrichidae. The record is from RNAcentral.